GGCAGGUGAUGUCUGUUAUCACGAUGGUCUUCGGAUGCCCACAUGGGGCACUGCCGACGCAGCCUCUUGGCAGAACUGAUGCCAGAAG
Small nucleolar RNA from Ochotona princeps (American pika), 88 nucleotides. RefSeq annotates it as small nucleolar RNA SNORD35. The record is from RefSeq and is a predicted model, not a curated record. The transcript has a single exon. NCBI's taxonomy places the organism in Eukaryota, Metazoa, Chordata, Mammalia, Lagomorpha, Ochotonidae.